Molecule: transfer RNA, 77 nt
Filed under: Endozoicomonas sp. OPT23
Lineage: Bacteria; Pseudomonadati; Pseudomonadota; Gammaproteobacteria; Oceanospirillales; Endozoicomonadaceae
Description: tRNA-Arg
Rfam family: tRNA
About the family: Transfer RNA (tRNA) molecules are approximately 80 nucleotides in length. Their secondary structure includes four short double-helical elements and three loops (D, anti-codon, and T loops). Further hydrogen bonds mediate the characteristic L-shaped molecular structure. tRNAs have two regions of fundamental functional importance: the anti-codon, which is responsible for specific mRNA codon recognition, and the 3' end, to which the tRNAs corresponding amino acid is attached (by aminoacyl-tRNA synthetases). tRNAs cope with the degeneracy of the genetic code in two manners: having more than one tRNA (with a specific anti-codon) for a particular amino acid; and 'wobble' base-pairing, i.e. permitting non-standard base-pairing at the 3rd anti-codon position.
Source: RNAcentral
GCUCCCGUAGCUCAGCUGGAUAGAGCAAUCGCCUCCUAAGCGAUAGGCCAGUGGUUCGAAUCCACUCGGGAGCGCCA